Molecule: ribosomal RNA, 554 nt
Filed under: uncultured bacterium
Lineage: Bacteria
Description: bacterial SSU rRNA
Rfam family: Bacterial small subunit ribosomal RNA
Source: RNAcentral
UAGGGAAUCUUCGGCAAUGGACGGAAGUCUGACCCGAGCAAACGCCGCGUGAGUGAAGAAAGGUUUUUCGGAUCGUAAAGCUCUGUUGUAAGAGAAGAACGAGUGUGAGAGUGGAAAGUUCACACUGUGACGGUAUCUUACCAGAAAGGGACGGCUAACUACGUGCCAGCAGCCGCGGUAAUACGUAGGUCCCGAGCGUUGUCCGGAUUUAUUGGGCGCAAAGCGAGCGCAGGCGGUUAGAUAAGUCUGAAGUUAAAGGCUGUGGCUUAACCAUAGUACGCUUUGGAAACUGUUUAACUUGAGUGCAAGAGGGGAGAGUGGAAUUCCAUGUGUAGCGGUGAAAUGCGUAGAUAUAUGGAGGAACACCGGUGGCGAAAGCGGCUCUCUGGCUUGUAACUGACGCUGAGGCUCGAAAGCGUGGGGAGCAAACAGGAUUAGAUACCCUGGUAGUCCACGCCGUAAACGAUGAGUGCUAGGUGUUAGACCCUUUCCGGGGUUUAGUGCCGUAGCUAACGCAUUAAGCACUCCGCCUGGGGAGUACGACCGCAAGGUUG